UUUUUCUCACAGCUGGUAGCGUCGGUCGAGAUCCGUUCCGGGCGUAGAAUUACGACUGGGAGGCAAUUUUAGUGUGUUUUUCGUAAAAAAUUGUUCCAGAGAUAUGAAUCAGUUUGACAGUUUAUCAGUGACAACGUAUCACCUCUUUGCAAAUAAUUUUACAAGUCGGCGCUAUAAUAUCAUGGGAGUCUGACAACAUGACAGUUGACUGCUUCCUUAAGGAUGACCAAAAGCGUGGUACAAAAAACAUCGUUCACGCGUACCGUUACACGGAAGUACAAUGAGGAUAGGGAUCAUGAUAUUUACCGUCCUGUUUGGGGCACCCGUUUUCGCUGACGUUGUAAAUUUAGAACCAUCCGGGCCGGUGAAUGUAUGCUGUUGUGGCACAUCAACUUGUUGCUGCUCGCAGAGAGAACACCGGCACGGGAACAAGCAGUGACUGUCGGCGGAAAAAUUCACAGUGGAACAGAACAGUGAUAAAUUACUUGUGGAAGAGUACCUCUGGCUGCGCUUGGACGAUUGCCGGGGGAGUCGUGAAAAACACAUUCGUACAUAAAAGAAGGGAUGGUAACUUAAAGUAUGAUAUCUGUCGUUAACACAUUUCAUGGAGCGCAUUGGAAGGAACUAACGAUGAUGAAAAAAAAACCAAUUGUGCUUCAUUUCACUCUGCAAAAGCGAUACGUCAUUUCACGAGUGAAAUUCAGGAUUACGACAAGCGGAGAAACGAAGGUUAAGAUUUUACAUUCUGUUGAUAGUCGUAUGGAUUGAUAACCUGUGAAAGGUGUGAUGCACGAAGACCUCCAGCUAGGUGAACUACAUCGGGGCAUAUGUUUGGUAUACAUUCUACUCAUCGUUCCGGAUACAUUCUUGCAGCUCGUACCAAGCGGCAGCGGCAGCCGACAUGAACAGCAGAAACAGUUUCUCAGAAAACCAAUUCGAAACUCAAUAUAUACUGCACUGACGAUGUUGUCGUGGAGACCGGGUCAGAGCCACAGCAUAUGUAUACAUUUCCGGCAUAUGUAUGCCUCUCUACGCAGGAAUAUGAUCCCACGGUUUGCCAAACGAUGCCAGACACAGGAUUACAAAUACGGAAUAUGAUGUAUCACAUUGUAACAACAAGUGCGGCGUGUUUUAACUCAAGGUUAAUCAAUACAAUAUGAUGACUCUCGUUAAUUUCAAUCCUCGGAUAUAAUGGUUAAAACUCACAUCGGUUCACAAUUUUGAACGAGACGUUUUUCUUCUAUUUUCUAUUUGUUCCCAAAUAGUACUUGUUCCCAUAAAUAUAUUCUAGUAUUCGUGCGCAUGUAUUUUUACAACAAUUUCAACGGUCAAUACUCAUACUCACCAUAUAAUCGCUCCAAGUCAAUCGAUUUUUUUUUGGAAACAGAGGCGAAUAAUCUGUGAAAUUUUAAAGCCUCUAUAAUUCAAACCAUGACUAUGAUUAUCAUU
Toxorhynchites rutilus septentrionalis is the source of this 1449-nucleotide long non-coding RNA. RefSeq lists it as uncharacterized. NCBI's taxonomy places the organism in Eukaryota, Metazoa, Arthropoda, Insecta, Diptera, Culicidae. The transcript is spliced from 3 exons. The record is from RefSeq and is a predicted model, not a curated record.